Molecule: ribosomal RNA, 773 nt
Filed under: uncultured bacterium
Lineage: Bacteria
Description: bacterial SSU rRNA
Rfam family: Bacterial small subunit ribosomal RNA
Source: RNAcentral
AGAGUUUGAUCAUGGCUCAGGACGGACGCUGGCGGCGUGCUUAACACAUGCAAGUCGAACGGAAAGGCCCUUCGGGGUACUCGAGUGGCGAACGGGUGAGUAACACGUGGGUGAUCUGCCCUGCACUUUGGGAUAAGCCUGGGAAACUGGGUCUAAUACCGAAUAGGACCACGCGCUUCAUGGUGUGUGGUGGAAAGCUUUUGCGGUGUGGGAUGGGCCCGCGGCCUAUCAGCUUGUUGGUGGGGUAAUGGCCUACCAAGGCGACGACGGGUAGCCGGCCUGAGAGGGUGACCGGCCACACUGGGACUGAGAUACGGCCCAGACUCCUACGGGAGGCAGCAGUGGGGAAUAUUGCACAAUGGGCGCAAGCCUGAUGCAGCGACGCCGCGUGAGGGAUGACGGCCUUCGGGUUGUAAACCUCUUUCAAUAGGGACGAAGCGCAAGUGACGGUACCUAUAGAAGAAGCACCGGCCAACUACGUGCCAGCAGCCGCGGUAAUACGUAGGGUGCGAGCGUUGUCCGGAAUUACUGGGCGUAAAGAGCUCGUAGGUGGUUUGUCGCGUUGUUCGUGAAAACUCACAGCUUAACUGUGGGCGUGCGGGCGAUACGGGCAGACUAGAGUACUGCAGGGGAGACUGGAAUUCCUGGUGUAGCGGUGGAAUGCGCAGAUAUCAGGAGGAACACCGGUGGCGAAGGCGGGUCUCUGGGCAGUAACUGACGCUGAGGAGCGAAAGCGUGGGGAGCGAACAGGAUUAGAUACCCCGGUAGUCCAA